This is a long non-coding RNA of Puntigrus tetrazona (Sumatra barb), 419 nucleotides long. RefSeq lists it as uncharacterized. NCBI's taxonomy places the organism in Eukaryota, Metazoa, Chordata, Actinopteri, Cypriniformes, Cyprinidae. The transcript has 2 exons. The record is from RefSeq and is a predicted model, not a curated record.
GAAGAAAACAUGUUUACAUGUUCAUGACAUGAGGCAAUAAAGGACGUUUUUGACAUUUACAACAAAUAAUUGCAAUUUAUCGAUUAUAGAAUUGAGAAGAACGUCAGAACAUUAGACACUUUUUAUGGAAUAUUACAUUCACAUUAAGUGAUUAACCUUUAUAGAAAUGUACUUAAAUGUAAACGAGUAAAUAAUACGUUGCAUGACAUUGUAGGCCAGUAAGAUUAAAACAAGUAAUCCUUAUAGAAACAACAAUGUGCAACAUAUAAUAUUUAAAUGUCUAUCUUGUUUAUUCUUUCUCAUUUUUUUCCUUUCAUAUUAUAUAUAUUGAUAUAAUAUCCUCAUGGAAAAGUUUGUCCUAAUUGCACUGACUGCAUGUCAAAACAACCUGUAUAAGCUGUUUUUUUUUGUUUUUUUUU